This is a long non-coding RNA of Gossypium raimondii (Peruvian cotton), 1765 nucleotides long. RefSeq lists it as uncharacterized. The record is from RefSeq and is a predicted model, not a curated record. The transcript is spliced from 3 exons. NCBI's taxonomy places the organism in Eukaryota, Viridiplantae, Streptophyta, Magnoliopsida, Malvales, Malvaceae.
UCAUCUCAUCUUCUUCUUAUCAUUGAAAUUUCUAAUGGCUUAAUAGAUUGAAUUCUUGGAGUUCACUCAAAGAAAGUACUAGAUGGAACUUUUUAGUCAAAGAAAAAAAAGAGAGAUUCCAUAACGUGAAAGCAACAGAGCAGUAGUAGUACAUAAGCCGAAAGGUCAAUAUCGUCAGGCCAUAGUCAAACUCUGAGCGCAUGACUGUAAUAUCAGGGAGAAACAAAGGGCAAUAGUUUGUUUUCCUUUUAUAUAUACCAAGGGACAACCUGCAACUGCUUAUCACACAACUAUAACGUUCUUCAACAAAUACUUCCUCUGUUUUCUCUUUUAUUCUCUAAUCUCUCAAGCCUGUAGAUCUUUGCAAAAAAAAAUGGCAGGUGCAAGGGGAGAAAUGAUCAACGGUGGGAAUUAUUCGCCGAGGAUUGCUGGACGUCCGAUCCCAAGGAGGGGUCAAGUGAAAAUUGCUAUCUUAAUGGGGAUUGCCCAUUCUUUUGCUUCUAUUUUCUCUGCAAGUAGUCGCAGGCAAUCUGCAUCUCACUUGUCCUAGGUUGUUUAAUUUCUCCCAAAAAGUAAGAGAACUGGGAGGGUAAACGUUGCCCGUCCUAGGAAAGAUUUUCAGUUGAUCUUCUGAUUGAUUAUCAUCUCUCGGUACUUUGAAUUUGAAGAAAGGCAAUUUUCAAGUUUAAAAAGAUCUGGUAGCAAAGCAAUUAUAUUUAGUCAUACUGGGCGAUGAAUUAAGAUGACACCGAGUUACAUAAAGGUGGUUGGGGAUUUGUCAAGCGAUUGCUUUUAUCAAAUUCUUGCAAGUUAUGACCUUUGGAAAAACAUAACAUAGAAAAGUACGCUACGCAAUUUCAAUAUAGCAGAAGGCCUAAAUUCAGGACAGAAUAUCAAGUAGAAACUCCCGAGGUAUGCUCUAGAUCCGAACAUGACCAAGAGAAGUUUGUGCAGAUUUGAAAACGGUUUGUUUCCAAGGCCACAACACAAAAGCAAGCAACUGCUAAACGUUGAUUUGCUCAUUUGUUGAUAGCAGAUAAAACAAAGAGAACAUUUUUGUCAAAUUUUUGUGCCAGUUUCAUGUUGUGCUAUUUUCUUUUUAAUGGCAUUGAAAAUUCGUCUAAUGCAUUAAAGUUAUUCUGGCAAGCCAAAUGCAACCGCAAAGAAACCACGGUAAUGAAUCAGAUAAACCCUUGUAGUUCAAAAGCUUGGUAUCUCAAGUUCCAUCCUUGUAGUGCAAAGGUGUGAGGUAAAGUUCCAUCCUUCUAUGACAGUUUCAUGCAUUGGUAUUUCAGUUCCAUCCUUGUAGCGCAAAAGUUGUGAGUUAAAGUCUUGGAUGGCACAAGUGACCUCAGGAAUCUUGACAGUUCCCUAAAACACGACAUAAUUAGUUUAUUUAAAUUUCAGGUGAUUUUCUAUAGUUUAAUGAGCAAAGGAUUGCCGAGGUUUCUGCUUAUUUGAAUAGUCUUACGUGCAAGCAUCAUCUGGGAAUUUCAAUGAAGUGAGCUUUGUCAAUGCCGGAUUUAGCCAGGCCAGACACAGAGGGACGAAACGUCCCCAUUGGGGUAGUGAGGUGGCAAACUUUUAACCGCUGUUGCAGCCUGGGGGGCUGUAAAAGGGCCUAAGAAAUUAGGCAGUGAAUAGCUGCCAAUGCUUUUUUCUUCUUUUGCGUAUUCUUUAACAUGACUUGAAACUGGUUCCCAUGAAGAUUUUAAAUGUGUUACAACAUUCCGAAACAGAAUACAGAUCUUUUGAAAAGCUUAAA